RNAcentral lists this ribosomal RNA (253 nucleotides) under uncultured bacterium. Its description in RNAcentral is "partial 16S ribosomal RNA". It matches the Rfam family "Bacterial small subunit ribosomal RNA", at positions 524 to 776 of the family's 1533-position model. The record is from RNAcentral.
GACGUAGGGCGCGAGCGUUGUCCGGAUUUAUUGGGCGUAAAGAGCUCGUAGGCGGCUUGUCGCGUCGUCCGUGAAAACUUGGGGCUCAACCCCAAGCUUGCGGUCGAUACGGGCAGGCUAGAGUUCGGUAGGGGAGACUGGAAUUCCUGGUGUAGCGGUGAAAUGCGCAGAUAUCGGGAGGAACACCAGUGGCGAAGGCGGAGACCUGGGCCAAUACUGACGCUGAGGUGCGAAAGCGUGGGGAGCAAACAGG